Acanthosepion pharaonis is the source of this 111-nucleotide non-coding RNA. NCBI's taxonomy places the organism in Eukaryota, Metazoa, Mollusca, Cephalopoda, Sepiida, Sepiidae. The record is from the annotation of a GenBank genome assembly.
UUACGGCUAUAGCACAUUGAAACACCGGUUACCGUACGAUCACCGAAGUUAAGCAACGUCGAGCAUGGUCAGUACCUAGAUGGGUGAACGCUUGGAUGUGCAGGUGGCGUA